GUGAAAGAUAUUCUCGUCGGGUUGAACGGCCUCCGCUGAGGCCGGUGAGAAUACUACCAAUUGUUUUUCCUCGUCGGCAAUUGUUUUCCAGCGAGAGGAGGAUAUCGAGACGUAUUGAUCGUAAAGAAGCUGAUGAGAGGCGGAAUCGUUCUGUCCUGUGGUGAUGGCGGCGACUCUGGCGUUGGAUAAAUGGUAGAUAACGAAAACCAGAGCAUUCAUGAGAAGAAAAACGAACAGAUGGUUGUUCAAAACGGAGAGAUAAGCAGGUGCAAUCUCUUGGACGAACGGAAACCAUGUGAUGGAGCAGCAAAGGAGAGUGACGGCCGCUGAUAGGGUAAAACAGAAUCUAGAGAUUCUGUCUCUCCUGUAUCUUCUCAUGGCGUCAGCUUUCUCAGCCUUGACUAUAUCAAGUUCAAAAGAAGACAUCUUCAGAGGAAGCCAAGUGAAAGAAACGAUGGAGAAUAGAAUAUGAAGAGAGACAUAAAGAAAGUGCACACACGCGCACACACACACACAUGUUAAAAGAAAAUUAACGAGACAUUA
RNAcentral lists this unclassified non-coding RNA (543 nucleotides) under Hevea brasiliensis (rubber tree). The record is from RNAcentral. Lineage: Eukaryota; Viridiplantae; Streptophyta; Magnoliopsida; Malpighiales; Euphorbiaceae.